GCACUCAUUCAGGCAGCACGUUUACUAAAAUUGGAACAAUACAGAGAUUAGCAUGUCCCCUGUGCAAGGAUGACACAGACUUGUGAAGUGUCCCAUAUUUUC
Small nuclear RNA from Rhinolophus ferrumequinum (greater horseshoe bat), 102 nucleotides. NCBI's taxonomy places the organism in Eukaryota, Metazoa, Chordata, Mammalia, Chiroptera, Rhinolophidae. The record is from Ensembl.